GCCGCGGUAAUUCCAGCUCCAAUAGCGUAUAUUAAAGUUGUUGUGGUUAAAAAGCUCGUAGUUGAACCUUGGGCCUGGCUGGCCGGUCCCCCUCACCGGGUGCACUGAUCCAGCCGGGCCUUUCCCUCUGUGGAACCCCAUGGCCUUCACUGGCUGUGGCGGGGAAACAGGACUUUUACUUUGAAAAAAUUAGAGUGCUCCAGGCAGGCCUAUGCUCGAAUACAUUAGCAUGGAAUAAAAAAAUAGGACGUGUGGUUUUAUUUUGUUGGUUUCUAGGACCGCCGUAAUGAUUAAUAGGGACAGUCGGGGGCAUCAGUAUUCAAUUGUCAGAGGUGAAAUUCUUGGAUCUAUUGAAGACUAACUACUGCGAAAGCAUUUGCCAAGGAUGUUUUCAUUGAUAAGGAACGAAAGUUAGGGGAUCGAAGACGAUCAGAUACCGUCGUAG
RNAcentral lists this ribosomal RNA (445 nucleotides) under Lomentospora prolificans. RNAcentral's name for it is "Scedosporium prolificans Eukaryotic small subunit ribosomal RNA". It matches the Rfam family "Eukaryotic small subunit ribosomal RNA", at positions 573 to 1023 of the family's 1831-position model. The record is from Rfam by way of RNAcentral. Lineage: Eukaryota; Fungi; Ascomycota; Sordariomycetes; Microascales; Microascaceae.